This 28-nucleotide non-coding RNA is filed under the name Rattus norvegicus (Norway rat). The record is from RNAcentral. Lineage: Eukaryota; Metazoa; Chordata; Mammalia; Rodentia; Muridae.
UGAGUUUUACUGGGUCAAGCUUGGUGGU